UACGUAGGGGGCAAGCGUUGUCCGGAAUCAUUGGGCGUAAAGAGCGUGUAGGCGGCCCGGUAAGUCCGCUGUGAAAGUCGGGGGCUCAACCCUCGAAUGCCGGUGGAUACUGUCGGGCUAGAGUGCGGAAGAGGCGAGUGGAAUUCCUGGUGUAGCGGUGAAAUGCGCAGAUAUCAGGAAGAACACCAAUGGCGAAAGCAGCUCUCUGGGACGGUACUGACGCUGAGACGCGAAAGCGUGGGGAGCGAACAGG
This 253-nucleotide ribosomal RNA is filed under the name uncultured bacterium. RNAcentral describes it as "partial 16S ribosomal RNA". It matches the Rfam family "Bacterial small subunit ribosomal RNA", at positions 524 to 776 of the family's 1533-position model. The record is from RNAcentral.